GUACUCUGGUUUCCCUUCGAUACGCUUAAAUCUUUCGCCUUUUACUAAAGAUUUCCGUGGAGGGGAACAUUUGAUGAGUCUUUAAACAAUUUUUUGUUGCGCUCGGCGUAAGCUGGGCC
This is a non-coding RNA of Zootermopsis nevadensis, 119 nucleotides long. The record is from Rfam. NCBI's taxonomy places the organism in Eukaryota, Metazoa, Arthropoda, Insecta, Blattodea, Termopsidae.